Long non-coding RNA from Haliotis rufescens (red abalone), 1158 nucleotides. RefSeq lists it as uncharacterized. The transcript has 3 exons. The record is from RefSeq and is a predicted model, not a curated record. Lineage: Eukaryota; Metazoa; Mollusca; Gastropoda; Lepetellida; Haliotidae.
AACCAGGUGUACAGUUGUGAUCCUAUCAACAGUUCAUUUAUCUUUGUUACUGGCUGUUGUUUGCAUUCGAGUAUUUCCUCUGACUAUGAGAAAGUGCGGAUAAACAAAACUGUUUCGUGAAGGUGGAUAUUUAGUUGCUUCUUGUAUCAAGUUAUUAGCUUCUCACGACACUUUGAAAACAUUCUAAUUAUUAUUCUGUCAGAUGGAACAAAUACAAGUACUGCCAUUACGAGCAGCACAACUACAACAGAAACGCCAUCAACAUCUAAAAUUACAAUCAACACUGAUGGAACAAACACAAGUACAAGUACAAGUACAAGUACUGAAACUACAACAGAAACGCCAUUAACAUCUACAAUUACAAUCAACACUGAAACCUGUUGUACAGUUGCAAUCCCCUUAACAGUUAAUUUAGCUUUGCUACUGGCUGUCAUUUGCAUCAGAAUAUUUCUUCUGAUUAUGGGGAAGUGCGGAUAAAGAAAAAAGUUUCGUGAAGGAGGAUAUGUAGUGGUUCACGUGUUCUCACAUUUGUUGUCAUGUAUUCAGUAAGACAUGAAACAAUGCUGUUCUGAUUUGCUUGGGCAUUGUGUUAUGCCAUAUUAAUUUCGAUAAACAUUCAUAUGCUGUCUUGAUAUGUACAUAUACGUGUAUAGUUGUAAAAAAUAUUUGUCUCAUUUAUCGGGCUUGCAUGACUUACAUGAAAGCAUAUUUCCGUUUGAUUCGUUUCCAAUAACCGAUGGCAGUAAUGAACGAUUGAGGUCGAAAUUAUCAGUAAACCUUUCUUGUCACUGCUAACUAAUUUUAGAGAAGUACCCCUGUUCAGUAAAACUUCAGUAUCAGAUAAUAUGGAAAUAUACAUGCAGAUAAAGGAAUUGGAUCCAAAAGACAUUAAUAAGCACCAGGUCUUGUAAAUGUACAUACUAUUAUUAUCCAUGAAAGCAGACGAAACAAGUAUCUGGCGCCUACAUAUAACGAAGUUCAAUUUAUCGCCUUUAAAUCCAUGGAAUGCUUUUCAGAAUAUCAUAUACAAAUAAACGCAUUUUUGGCUCAACAAUAACCAUCGUGUUUGGUGAGUAUGUGGGUUUGGCUUCUCAUAUAACACACAGUGCCUCACGGUUUUGUUUGAUAAUUACUUCUAACCUUGUUGUGCACCCACAA